CCUACGGGAGGCAGCAGUGGGGAAGUCUUGCGCAAUGGGCGAAAGCCUGACGCAGCAACGCCGCGUGCGGGAAGAAGGCUUUCGGGCUGUAAACCGCUUUCAGCAGGAACGAAAAUGACGGUACCUGCAGAAGAAGGAGCGGCCAACUAUGUGCCAGCAGCCGCGGUGAUACAUAGGCUUCAAGCGUUGUCCGGAUUUAUUGGGCGUAAAGAGUUCGUAGGCGGUCGAGUAAGUCGGGUGUGAAAAUUCUGGGCUCAACCCAGAGACGCCACCCGAUACUGCUUGACUUGAGUUCGAUAGGGGAGUGGGGAAUUCCUAGUGUAGCGGUGAAAUGCGCAGAUAUUAGGAGGAACACCGGUGGCGAAGGCGCCACUCUGGAUCGAUACUGACGCUGAGGAACGAAAGCAUGGGUAGCAAACAGGAUUAGAUACCCUGGUAGUCCAUGCCGUAAACGGUGGGCACUAGGUGUGGGUUUCUAUUAACGAAAUCCGCGCCGUCGCUAACGCAUUAAGUGCCCCGCCUGGGGGAGGUACGGUCGCGAGAACUAAACUUAAACGUAAGUAGUACGGCGNGAGACGNGCCGACGGACGACGACGAGGGAGGUAGG
RNAcentral lists this ribosomal RNA (607 nucleotides) under uncultured bacterium. RNAcentral describes it as "bacterial SSU rRNA". It matches the Rfam family "Bacterial small subunit ribosomal RNA", at positions 338 to 1415 of the family's 1533-position model. The record is from RNAcentral.